GACGAACGCUGGCGGCGUGCUUAACACAUGCAAGUCGAACGGAAAGGCCCCUUUGGGGGUUCUCGAGUGGCGAACGGGUGAGUAACACGUGAGUAACCUGCCCUUGACUUCGGGAUAACUUCAGGAAACUGGGGCUAAUACCGGAUAGGAAUCCUUGCUGCAUGGUGGGGGUUGGAAAGCUUCGGCGGUUUUGGAUGGACUCGCGGCUUAUCAGCUUGUUGGUGGGGUAGUGGCUUACCAAGGCGUUGACGGGUAGCCGGCCUGAGAGGGCGACCGGCCACAUUGAGACUGAGGGACGGCCCAGGCGCCUACGGGAGGAAGAAGUGGGGAAUAUUGCACAAGGGGCGGAGGCCUGAUGCAGCAAGGCCGCGGGCGGGAUGACGGCCUUCGGGUUGUAAACCGCGUUCAGCAGGGGCGAAGCUUGUGGUGACGGUACCUUCAGAAGAAGCACCGGCUAACUACGUG
This 465-nucleotide ribosomal RNA is filed under the name uncultured bacterium. Its description in RNAcentral is "partial 16S ribosomal RNA". It matches the Rfam family "Bacterial small subunit ribosomal RNA", at positions 28 to 507 of the family's 1533-position model. The record is from RNAcentral.